ACCUGCAGUCGAGCGGUAGCAGGUGUAGCAAUACAUGCUGACGAGCGGCGGACGGGUGAGUAACGCUUGGGAAUCUGCCUGUUAGUGGGGGACAACCAACCGAAAGGUUGGCUAAUACCGCAUACGCACUACGGUGGAAAGCCGGGGACCGCAAGGCCUGGCGCUAACAGAUGAGCCCAAGUCGGAUUAGCUAGUUGGUAGGGUAAUGGCCUACCAAGGCGACGAUCCGUAACUGGUCUGAGAGGACGACCAGUCACACCGGAACUGAGACACGGUCCGGACUCCUACGGGAGGCAGCAGUGGGGAAUAUUGGACAAUGGGGGCAACCCUGAUCCAGCGACGCCGCGUGGGUGAAGAAGGCCUGCGGGUUGUAAAGCCCUUUCGGUUGGGAAGAAAAGUUCUGACCUAACACGUCGGGACCUUGACGUAACCAACUAAAGAAGCACCGGCUAACUCUGUGCCAGCAGCCGCGGUAAUACAGAGGGUGCGAGCGUUAAUCGGAAUUACUGGGCGUAAAGCGCGCGUAGGCGGCUUUUCAAGUCGAUUGUGAAAUCCCCGGGCUUAACCUGGGAACUGCAGUCGAGACUGUCUAGCUAGAGUAUGGGAGAGGGAAGUGGAAUUUCAGGUGUAGCGGUGAAAUGCGUAGAUAUCUGAAGGAACAUCAGUGGCGAAAGCGACUUCCUGGACCAAUACUGACGCUCAUGUGCGAAAGCGUGGGGAGCAAACAGGAUUAGAUACCCUGGUAGUCCACGCCAUAAACGAUGAGAACUGGAUGUCGGAGGGGUCUGCCCUUCGGUGUCGUAGCUAACGCGUUAAGUUCUCCGCCUGGGGGAGUACGGCCGCAAGGUUGA
Molecule: ribosomal RNA, 851 nt
Filed under: uncultured bacterium
Lineage: Bacteria
Description: bacterial SSU rRNA
Rfam family: Bacterial small subunit ribosomal RNA
Source: RNAcentral